RNAcentral lists this ribosomal RNA (468 nucleotides) under uncultured bacterium. Its description in RNAcentral is "partial 16S ribosomal RNA". It matches the Rfam family "Bacterial small subunit ribosomal RNA", at positions 28 to 507 of the family's 1533-position model. The record is from RNAcentral.
GACGAACGCUGGCGGCGUGCUUAACACAUGCAAGUCGAACGGAAAGGCCCUGCUUUUGUGGGGUGCUCGAGUGGCGAACGGGUGAGUAACACGUGAGUAACCUGCCCUUGACUUUGGGAUAACUUCAGGAAACUGGGGCUAAUACCGGAUAGGAGCUCCUGCUGCAUGGUGGGGGUUGGAAAGUUUCGGCGGUUGGGGAUGGACUCGCGGCUUAUCAGCUUGUUGGUGGGGUAGUGGCUUACAAAGGCUUUGACGGGUAGCCGGCCUGGGAGGGUGACCGGCCACAUUGGGACUGCGGUACGGCCCAGACUCCUACGGGAGGCAGCAGUGGGGAAUAUUGCACAAUGGGCGGAAGCCUGAUGCAGCAACGCCGCGUGCGGGAUGACGGCCUUCGGGUUGUAAACCGCUUUGGCCUGUGACGAAGCGUGAGUGACGGUAAUGGGUAAAGAAGCACCGGCUAACUACGUG